ACCGAGUUUACAACUCCCAAACCCCUGUGAAUCAUCCACUUGUUGCCCUCGGCGGAUCAGCCCGCUCCCGGUAAAACGGACGGCCCGCCAGAGGACCCUAAAUCUCUGUUUCUAUAUGUAACUUUCUGAGUAUUAAAGCAUAAAUAAUUC
This 150-nucleotide unclassified non-coding RNA is filed under the name soil metagenome. RNAcentral describes it as "partial internal transcribed spacer 1". The record is from RNAcentral.